GCUGAUGUUUGCAUUCCACAAGGCCAUUCUGUUGUGGAGUUUCAACACAGGAAGUUUGAUGAAUUGUACCUUCUGAAGCAUAAAAAAUAGGCAUAUCAAAUUCAAGACCAUUGUUACUUCUCAAGGUUUUAAUUGUAGCAGAAAACUUAGUUUCUACCAUAGCAAAGAAAGACUGCAAAACAACUUUUGUUUGAGACUUAUUCUGUAAAAGGAAAAAACCCAAGUAAAUCUGGUAAAGUCAUCAACAACAGUGAGGAAAU
This 260-nucleotide unclassified non-coding RNA is filed under the name Hevea brasiliensis (rubber tree). The record is from RNAcentral. Lineage: Eukaryota; Viridiplantae; Streptophyta; Magnoliopsida; Malpighiales; Euphorbiaceae.